AAGUCGUAACAAGGUAUCCGUAGGUGAACCUGCGGAUGGAUCAUUACAACAAGUAUUUCAUACUUUCACCAUUUGUGCACUGUAGCGUGUCGUUGAGGCUUUCGAGCCUGGGCGUACGCGUAUUCUUUCACUAACUAAACUGAACACUGUAAUAUAUACAAAAAGCAUAAAACUUUUAGCAACGGAUCUCUAGGUUCUC
This 199-nucleotide unclassified non-coding RNA is filed under the name fungal sp. Its description in RNAcentral is "partial internal transcribed spacer region". The stretch from base 1 to 46 matches the Rfam family "Eukaryotic small subunit ribosomal RNA", at positions 1786 to 1831 of the family's 1831-position model. The record is from RNAcentral. Lineage: Eukaryota; Fungi.